This 429-nucleotide ribosomal RNA is filed under the name Pseudomonadota bacterium. RNAcentral's name for it is "Proteobacteria bacterium partial 16S ribosomal RNA". It matches the Rfam family "Bacterial small subunit ribosomal RNA", at positions 355 to 776 of the family's 1533-position model. The record is from RNAcentral. Lineage: Bacteria; Pseudomonadati; Pseudomonadota.
UGGGGAAUAUUGGACAAUGGGCGAAAGCCUGAUCCAGCCAUGCCGCGUGUGUGAAGAAGGUCUUCGGAUUGUAAAGCACUUUAAGUUGGGAGGAAGGGCAGUAAGCGAAUACCUUGCUGUUUUGACGUUACCGACAGAAUAAGCACCGGCUAACUCUGUGCCAGCAGCCGCGGUAAUACAGAGGGUGCAAGCGUUAAUCGGAAUUACUGGGCGUAAAGCGCGCGUAGGUGGUUCGUUAAGUUGAAUGUGAAAGCCCCGGGCUCAACCUGGGAACUGCAUCCAAAACCGGCGAGCUAGAGUAGGGCAGAGGGUGGUGGAAUUUCCUGUGUAGCGGUGAAAUGCGUAGAUAUAGGAAGGAACACCAGUGGCGAAGGCUACCACCUGGGCUCAUACUGACACUGAGGUGCGAAAGCGUGGGGAGCAAACAGG